AGCUUUGCGCAGAGGCGAUAUCGUAACCAAUGAGGUAUAACCGAGGUGCGAUUAUUGCUAUUUGAAAUGUAUAAUACAGCAAGGUUGGGUUUCAUUCAAUAUCAGUAUUUUGAACUGUCAGCUACUAAGCAAAUUUCUAUAAGACUCCUAGCACUCUAUGGGU
Stomoxys calcitrans (stable fly) is the source of this 163-nucleotide small nuclear RNA. RefSeq annotates it as U4 spliceosomal RNA. The transcript has a single exon. The record is from RefSeq and is a predicted model, not a curated record. Lineage: Eukaryota; Metazoa; Arthropoda; Insecta; Diptera; Muscidae.